This 663-nucleotide ribosomal RNA is filed under the name Triticum aestivum (bread wheat). RNAcentral describes it as "partial small subunit ribosomal RNA". The record is from RNAcentral. Lineage: Eukaryota; Viridiplantae; Streptophyta; Magnoliopsida; Poales; Poaceae.
AUGGGCGGCACCACGGUGCUCCCGCCGUCUCUGCUCCCGCGCCGUAGCGCCGCCGCUGGCGACCUCCACUCCUGCUCCUCCCGCGUGCGCGUGAAUCCCGCCUUGAUGGCGAAUCCCGCCGCUGCCAAGAGGCCGAAGCGGCCCAUGUCCGUGUGCGACGGGCAGCCGCCGGCGAAGCGCGUACGCGGUGCCUGCUCCGGAGGCGAGCUCCAUGUCGCGGUGGCCGCCAACAUCAAGAACAGCAAGCUUCCAUGUCCCAGCAACGGCAAGGAUCCGAAGAAUCUCCACUCCUCUGUGAUCAAGAACCAGGUCGCCCAAUCUCCGGCGAGCUCGACGCAAUCGAAGCCGCCGAUCAGCAUACGCCAAGUGAUCGAGAACGCUCGCCUCGCCAUGGAUUGGGCGCACCCUGCCUCCGAAGAAGAGGCCAGCCGUCGGCGGGACAUCGAGCAUAGCAGAGCGGAGGCCCGGCGAAAGGUGGAGCAGAUGGUGGACACGGUGCAGUUCAACGACCCCUGGAUCCAUCACUCCGACGUGACCAAGUCCCCUGAGGAGCUGCUCCAAGCAAGACAGCAAGCUUGGCGUUAUCAAGCUCACCGCAUCGAGAUGGCUCGUCGACGGGACUUUGCUCAAGCGAUGCAAAUCCACAGAUGUGUGGUCAAGUGA